CUACGGGAGGCAGCAGUAAGGAACAUUGGUCAAUGGAGGCAACUCUGAACCAGCCAUGCCGCGUGCAGGAAGACAGCCCUCUGGGUCGUAAACUGCUUUUAUUCGGGAAUAAACCUACUUACGUGUAAGUAGCUGAAUGUACCGAAGGAAUAAGGAUCGGCUAACUCCGUGCCAGCAGCCGCGGUAAUACGGAGGAUCCAAGCGUUAUCCGGAUUUAUUGGGUUUAAGGGGUGCGUAGGCGGCUUUUUAAGUCAGGGGUGAAAGACGGUGGCUCAACCAUCGCAGUGCCCUUGAUACUGAAGAGCUUGAAUACAUUAGAGGUAGGCGGAAUGUGACAAGUAGCGGUGAAAUGCAUAGAUAUGUCACAGAACACCGAUUGCGAAGGCAGCUUACUAUGAUGAGAUUGACGCUGAGGCACGAAAGCGUGGGGAUCAAACAGGAUUAGAUACCCCGGUAGUCA
This 460-nucleotide ribosomal RNA is filed under the name uncultured bacterium. Its description in RNAcentral is "bacterial SSU rRNA". It matches the Rfam family "Bacterial small subunit ribosomal RNA", at positions 339 to 796 of the family's 1533-position model. The record is from RNAcentral.